GUGCCGGUAGCUUAAUGGUUAGAGCGCCUGACUUCAAAAAACUUCGGUUUCCUUAGAUCGGGUGAUGCACGUUCGAAUCGUGUCCGGUGCU
RNAcentral lists this transfer RNA (91 nucleotides) under Rhizobium oryzicola. Its description in RNAcentral is "tRNA-OTHER". It matches the Rfam family "tRNA". Rfam says of the family: Transfer RNA (tRNA) molecules are approximately 80 nucleotides in length. RNAcentral also lists the same sequence under 1 other name. Lineage: Bacteria; Pseudomonadati; Pseudomonadota; Alphaproteobacteria; Hyphomicrobiales; Rhizobiaceae. The record is from RNAcentral.